GCCAAGUUCGGAUGGAACUCGAGUACUGUCUCUAGUUCCAUAUAAACGGUAAAUAAUUUUGAAGAGUAAGGACUCUAGAUCACCGGAAACACAAGGCCCCUACUCUGAAUAUGUUUACAUUCAAAUUUGAUUGGAUCGACGUCAUAACAUCCGGGAUAUCGAGUCGAUCUCUAGUAACCCUGCCACAACCCAGGGCUCGUUGAGUUCUAAUGGCGGGAAAGCUAUAUCCAAUCAUAACAGGUGUUAUAUAUGACCAUGUCAAUCCUAUCUACUCUAGAUAUCCAUCCGAACUUGGCCUUCUAUUGUAGUAUUUUAAUCAGUAUGAUUUUAAAAGAUGACAAUACGAAUACUAAAAAUCUAGACUUAAAAUAAGGCUUAUAGGUACAGUUUUCAAUUUGUUAGUCGGCAUGACACGAAACAGUGAAACAAAGAAUUCAACUAAUACUGGACAAUGCCGUUGAUAAAAAAUUACUCCAUUCCAGGCCCUUUUGUUUUUCAGAUAAUUAAUAUUACCAAUAAUUGAUAAGUUCCAGGUUGACGGUUUCAAACAGAAAGAUUUUGAAAGUAGAGAAACUGUGCAUCUUAAAAUCAGCAUGACUUUAUCAGAUGACAAUAUCAAUACUAAAUAUCAAGGCUCAAAUAAGGCUUACACAUAUUUAUAUGCUUUAAUUCAGUCACGGACCAGCGAUUUCACGGGUGUGUUCUAGUAUAUAUUAUCCUUCACAAGGUGGUGUAACUUGUUUUAAAAUGUUCUUUGCAUUUCUUUGGGCAUUUUAUAUUUUCAAUAAAGAACUUGCUAUACAUAAAGUAUUUUAGAACUUCUUUAGAUAAGUGAGUUUACCUAAUACAAAAAAAAAAUAACUGUUCACCAUAUUGGCAUGAAGAAAAAUUUUGCAAAUAUUUAGAUAUUCAUGAUAUUAGUGAAUGAUAAAUUUGGGUCUUCUCUCAUAUAAAAGCAUCAAGCAAAUUAGAAAAUCAUGAAAAUUAUGUUGCCACUAAGUAGGCAGGAGAGGACAUAACGCUAAAUAAAGUAUUGGGAAAAUAAGUAGGUUAUAGUAUUAACUAUUUCUCAAAAAUUUGUCAUCUUACAUGAUAAAAUAUUCCUGGAAGGACAAGCAUCACUGGUGAGUCUUUUGUAGACGAAACGUGUCUGGUGCAAAUACAAAAUUUCAAUCCUGGUAUCUAUGAUGAGUUUAUAUACAUAUUCUUUCAGGAAUCAGAAGAACAUAAUUAUGUAGUUUCAAGCAGAUGGCCAAUAACUUAUAAAUGGAUAAACCUUGUGCUCAGAUUAUCUUACAUUCUCAUAAAAGUAAAAUUUAUAAGCUGUUAUUCACAUGAACUGACAAUUAAAUUUAGGUCCUGAAUUUUAUAUAAAGCAAUAUCCAUGAAAUGCUUGGACAUAUUUUUUCAUUGUUUCUGUCUGUCAAAUAUAUGUAUGACUAAUUUUAGGUCAUAUUGAUAUAAAAAUGAAAAAAAAUAUCAUGGCCAUAAUCAAAUUUGACAGUGCUAUGUCUAUGAGGGUUAUUGAUACAUUUUAUAUUAAACUUUAUGUAUUAUGUAUUAUAUAAUUGUUUUGAGUUAUUUAUUCUAUAUUUGACUACAUUACUAGUAUAUAAUUAACUUUACUGUAUGAG
This 1634-nucleotide long non-coding RNA is filed under the name Mytilus galloprovincialis (Mediterranean mussel). The record is from RNAcentral. Lineage: Eukaryota; Metazoa; Mollusca; Bivalvia; Mytilida; Mytilidae.